UUCCGGUUGAUCCUGCCGGAGGUCACUGCUAUUGGGAUUCGACUAAGCCAUGCGAGUUGAGAGGUCGGCCCUCGGCUGACGGCUCAGUAACACGUGGAUAAUCUACCCUUAGGUGGAGGAUAAUCUCGGGAAACUGAGAAUAAUACUCCAUAGGUCUAGGAUGCUGGAAUGCAUCUAGACUCAAAACUCCGGUGCCUAAGGAUGAGUCUGCGGACUAUCAGGUUGUAGUCAGGGUAAUGACCUGACUAGCCUACGACGGAUACGGGUUGUGAGAGCAAUAACCCGGAGAUGAUAUCUGAGACACGAUAUCAGGCCCUACGGGGCGCAGCAGGCGCGAAAACUUCACACUGUGCGAAAGCACGACGAGGGAAUCCCAAGUGCUGCUCGUUAGAGUCAGCUGUUUUUAUGUCUAAAAAGCAUAAAGAGUAAGGGCUGGGUAAGACCGGUGCCAGCCGCCGCGGUAACACCGGCGGCUCAAGUGGUGACCGCUUUUAUUGGGCCUAAAGCGUUCGUAGCCGGUUCGGUAAGUCUUUGGGUAAAUCUUGCUGCUUAACAGUAAGAAUUCCGAAGAUACUGCCGGGCUAGGGACCGAGAGAGGUCGGAGGUACUCCUGGGGUAGAGGUGAAAUUCUGUAAUCCUGGGGGGACCACCAGUGGCGAAGGCGUCCGACUAGAGCGGGUCCGACGGUGAGGGGCGAAAGCCAGGGGAGCGAACCGGAUUAGAUACCCGGGUAGUCCUGGCCGUAAACGCUGUGGGCUAGGUGUUGCAUGCUCUACGGGGGCAUGCAGUGCCGAAGAGAAGUUGAUAAGCCUACCGCCUGGGAAGUAUUACUGCAAGGUAGAAACUUAAAGGAAUUGGCGGGGGAGCACCACAAGGGGUGGAGUCUGCGGUUCAAUUGGAUUCAACGCCGGA
RNAcentral lists this ribosomal RNA (912 nucleotides) under uncultured archaeon. RNAcentral's name for it is "partial 16S ribosomal RNA". It matches the Rfam family "Archaeal small subunit ribosomal RNA", at positions 1 to 922 of the family's 1478-position model. The record is from RNAcentral.